AGAGUUUGAUCCUGGCUCAGAGUGAACGCUGGCGGCAGGCCUAACACAUGCAAGUCGAACGGCAGCACAGGGGAGCUUGCUCCCUGGGUGGCGAGUGGCGGACGGGUGAGGAAUACGUCGGAAUCUGCCUUUUCGUGGGGGAUAACGUAGGGAAACUUACGCUAAUACCGCAUACGACCUACGGGUGAAAGCCGGGGACCUUCGGGCCUGGCACGGAAAGAUGAGCCGACGUCGGAUUAGCUAGUUGGCGGGGUAAAGGCCCACCAAGGCGACGAUCCGUAGCUGGUCUGAGAGGAUGAUCAGCCACACUGGAACUGAGACACGGUCCAGACUCCUACGGGAGGCAGCAGUGGGGAAUAUUGGACAAUGGGCGCAAGCCUGAUCCAGCCAUGCCGCGUGUGUGAAGAAGGCCUUCGGGUUGUAAAGCACUUUUGUACGGGAAGAAAAGCUUUCGGUUAAUACCCGGGAGUCAUGACGGUACCGUAAGAAUAAGCACCGGCUAACUUCGUGCCAGCAGCCGCGGUAAUACGAAGGGUGCAAGCGUUACUCGGAAUUACUGGGCGUAAAGCGUGCGUAGGUGGUUUGUUAAGUCUGAUGUGAAAGCCCUGGGCUCAACCUGGGAAUGGCAUUGGAUACUGGCAGUCUAGAGUGCGGUAGAGGGUAGUGGAAUUCCCGGUGUAGCAGUGAAAUGCGUAGAUAU
RNAcentral lists this ribosomal RNA (700 nucleotides) under uncultured bacterium. RNAcentral's name for it is "bacterial SSU rRNA". It matches the Rfam family "Bacterial small subunit ribosomal RNA", at positions 8 to 697 of the family's 1533-position model. The record is from RNAcentral.